UACUGUCGACUUCAUUAUUAGAUAGAAGUAAUUUUUACAAAUUUAUUUAUUUAUUCUUAUAAUUUUUUUAUACUUAUCAUCAAUUCAGACAACACUUGAGUUCUCUAUUCAAUGUAAAGCUAUAUAUUACAUUAAAUCGAGAGGUAUAUUACGUGAAUGAAGAGAUUAUGCAUACAAAAUUGAAAUAAAAUAGAUGUUUAAUAAAAAAAUAUGCUUGAGCUUUUGAUUUAACGUCGUGCUGUAUACUAUAAUGGAUAUUAUAAUUUUUGACAUUAACUGCUCUCUGUAAUUUAUUUAUUGUUGCAGCAUUUAUAAGCAAAACUUUAUUGUAUGAAAUCUUUCAGCUUGCUCUCCUCUUCGCUGUGGUUGUUGCUACUAAUGCAAUCGGCUUUCCACUUGGACAUGGUGUCUUACAUAGCACAGGCGUCAGUGCAAGAUCUCAAACUCAGGAUGCCUUUGGCAACUAUGCUUUCAACUAUGGCAUCGCAAACGGAGCUGGUGCAACUAACUCAAGAGCUGAAGUAGGUGAUGCCCAUGGUAACAAAAGAGGUUCAUACACUCUGGCUGACCAUGAUGGAAGGGCCCGUAGAGUAGAUUACGUAGCUGAUGCUCAUGGAUUCCGUGCUGCUGUUCAUACCAACGAACCAGGAACUGCUGCCAGUGCCCCAGCUGCAGC
Non-coding RNA from Parasteatoda tepidariorum (common house spider), 676 nucleotides. The record is from RefSeq and is a predicted model, not a curated record. Lineage: Eukaryota; Metazoa; Arthropoda; Arachnida; Araneae; Theridiidae.